UGCCAGCCGCCGCGGUAAUACGGAGGGGGCUAGCGUUGUUCGGAAUAACUGGGCGUAAAGCGCGCGUAGGCGGAUUAUCAAGUUGGGGGUGAAAGCCCGGGGCUCAACCUCGGAACGGCCUCCAAAACUGAUAAUCUAGAGUUCUGGAGAGGUAAGUGGAAUUCCUAGUGUAGAGGUGAAAUUCGUAGAUAUUCGGAAGAACACCAGUGGCGAAGGCGGCUCACUGGUUCGAUACUGACGCUGAGGUGCGAAAGUGUGGGGAGCAAACAGGAUUAGAUA
This 279-nucleotide ribosomal RNA is filed under the name uncultured bacterium. RNAcentral describes it as "partial 16S ribosomal RNA". It matches the Rfam family "Bacterial small subunit ribosomal RNA", at positions 506 to 784 of the family's 1533-position model. The record is from RNAcentral.